RNAcentral lists this ribosomal RNA (428 nucleotides) under uncultured archaeon. RNAcentral's name for it is "bacterial SSU rRNA". It matches the Rfam family "Archaeal small subunit ribosomal RNA", at positions 474 to 903 of the family's 1478-position model. The record is from RNAcentral.
UACCAGCUCUCCGAGUGGUAGGGAUGAUUAUUGGGCUUAAAGCGUCCGUAGCCGGCUUAGCAAGUCUCCUGUUAAAUUCAGCGACCUAAUCGUUGAGCCGCGGGAGAUACUACUAGGCUAGGAGGCGGGAGAGGCCGACGGUAUUCUCGGGGUAGGGGUGAAAUCCUAUAAUCCCGGGAGGACCACCAGUGGCGAAGGCUGUCGGCUAGAACGCGCUCGACGGUGAGGGACGAAAGCUGGGGGAGCGAACCGGAUUAGAUACCCGGGUAGUCCCAGCUGUAAACGAUGCGGGCCAGGUGUUGGGGUGGCUACGAGCCACUUCAGUGCCGCAGGGAAGCCAUUAAGCCCGCCGCCUGGUGAGUACGGCCGCAAGGCUAGAAACUUAAGGAAUUGGCGGGGAGCACCACAAGGCGUGAAGCUUGCGGUUC